AUGCCCAGCCUUCAAGCAUGGACGCCCGGCAUCCCCUCUCCAAUUGGACACAAGCCCAGUGGCCGCACUCACAAGCCUAUCGUCCCCCUUCACUUGGGGAUACACCCCCGGUGGCUACCCCACAAGCCGGCAUCCCUCAUCCUUCUUGCACACACACGCCUGGCUUCCUCACUCCAAGCCCAGUGGCCAACUCUCCUUGCAAGGACAAAUUGUGCUAACACCCAAAUUUAAAGAUGCAAGCCCAGCAUUCCUAAGCUCAACUCCCAGGAUGUAACAAUUAAUAAGGUCCAAAUUCAGUUAUCAAAUUAUUGAAAGUCUUAAUCACAUCCAAGAAUUGAAGAUUCAAGAGAUUAGUUAUCAUUAAUUCCUUCUAGAAAGAUAAAGAUUUGGUUGUUAAGAUUUGUUUAUAGAAUAGAUUUGAAUUAUGUUGAUUUGAAUUCAAAUAGUUAGUUAUCUUAUCAUUACUCGAGAUAAGAUUAGGAUUAGUUUGGAAUUUGAAUUUUAGAUAAGAUUUAGGAUACAAAUAAGUGAACCUUGUUCAUAGAGAGGAGUAAUCGGAUCACACACCUUUCUCCCCAUUAGGAUUACUUUCUUCUUUAUCAUAAGUCACUAAACCUCCUCCGUUAAAGGUUAAAGGCUCUGUUUGAUUUUAGGAUUAAUAAUGUAAGUGUUUUCUUUAUUUUAAUUCAUACUUCUUUCCUUUUUUCAUGAUUGAGUUCGUCAAUAAUGGUUAGAACUAUUGAGAAAUAUUCUAUUCUAUCUUGGUUUCUGAUCUUAUAUUUGAAAAAAUUAAUUUCGAAAUUAGCUUAAAACUCAUCCUAUAAUCUUCAAUUAUCUAGAGAUAGCUCGAAUAAGUAACAUAUAACUCGGCUAGUGAUAGUUCUUAAGGACUGUGUGGUUUAAAAGUUGAAACCGUUCUUCAUCUCUUCUCUCGAUUAGUUGACCGAGGAAUUAAUGAUUAAUUGGGUUUAGAGAAAUUAAAUCAUCAAGGGAUUGGGGUUCUUCCAAGAAUAAGAAAGCACAAGCAUCUUUCUUCCAAGAAUCAAACAUCUUCGAAACCUUGAACAUUCUCAUCUAUUGAAUCUCUUCCAAUUUCAAGUAUUCUCCCAAGUCUUUUCUUUUGUUUCUUCUUUUCUUCAAGAUCCACAAUCCAAAAUCUAAGAUUUGAUCGAUCUAAUUAGAUAUUUAAUUAGACGUUGCUUGCCUCAAUCCGUCGUGGAAACGAUGUCCACUCACCAUUGUAUUACUUGAACAAUUCGGUACACUUGCCGGUAUCCAUGAACAUUAACUUUUGCUCAUCAUUGGUACCUUCACUUCCAAGGAUUGUUUUGUAUGUAUCAUCAUCGGCUAUUGUGAAGGCAGAGAUAUGCUGAAGCUAUAAAAAAGUCUAAUGGUAUUCAUUUUUCUGAAGAGAAGCUUUGUAAAUGGCUUGUUCAACUGCUGAUGGCACUUGAUUACUUGCAUACAAAUCAUAUCUGCACUGUGAUGUCAAGCAAUCAAAUAUAUUAUUGACAAAAGAUCAAGAUAUACGUCUAGGUAAUUGAUUUCUACAUUCUUUUGACUUCACAUGGCAUUUAGUCUCGACAUCUCUAAUUCUGUGCCUUCUUUCGGUAUGUCUAUUGAGAAUAUUGAUUAGAAAAUAAUGAGGAAACUUUUUAACUAUCUACUAAUCGAAUAAUAUCUCUACUAAUGUCCUAUCUUAUGUUAUGAGUUAUGUAUGCUGGAUGCAGGUGACUUUGCUCAUUCAAGAAGGUAAUCUUCAUUUAUGAUGUUUGGACCAUAAAAUAGUUCACUAUAAUAUUUUUUUUGUCUUGUAUCUGAGCAGUAUAUGCAAACAUUGAUUAAUAAAAUAAACAAGUCUUUAGUGGCUCCACUACCAACCAUGUAUUCCAAUCCAUUGUGAGAUCUCUAUUUCCUAAAAUAUCUAAGAUCUUUAUGCACACUAUAUUUCUUUUACUUGUGUUCUAUUUAACUAUUAUGUUUUUUUAUUCUCUUUUGCUGAUAUCUUACAAUCAAACUUAAAGCUGUUGUAGAUUAUAAUUUAAGUUUUCUAAUAUGUAUAAAGCAUGUAUACAACAUUCAAUUUGUUUGAUAUUACCUUUCAUUAAAACUAACUGAUGAUAUGGAAUUUACUUUGCCAUUAUACAUUUUGGAAUGAAAAUCAUGAAUAAAAUUAUGAUGAUUCCAGACAUGGUAGAUGGAUAAGGGCAUUUAAUCAUAAAUAGAGAGGUAAAUCUAAAUAGUUACACUAAUGUUUGAUCAAUCUCUCUCUUACUGUUGUUCAUAUAUUAUUACGAAGCAAAUCACUGAAACAUGUUUCAUCAAAAGGUUAUUGUGGCAGCAGCAGAAAGGAGGAACAAUAGGCGUGCAUUACAAGACAUUGGUAAUCUUGUGGCUAAGCAAGCAGAACAAAAUGUGACAAAGCGCAACACAAGAAAGUUUUAUGCUAAUAAUCAAGCUGCAGUAGAGAAGAACAAGAAAUCAAGCACUGAACUUGCAAAUGGAGCAGGAGUGGUUCCAGCUAAUGGGGGUUGGUGUGAGGAACUUCAUUGCUACAACAAAGUUAGAAGCAGCUAAGAAGCCACCAACAGAACAUGAAGUCAUUGUCAUCAGCUCAGAUGAUGAAUCCGAGAAAGAAAAGAAGAGGAAGCCAGAAGCCGCUAGAGGAACAAAGACAAAGGAAGGGGUAACCAGGGAAAAUGCUAAGGACUUCAGUUCAGUCCUCUCGACUAGAAGCAAGGCUGCUUCUGGACUCUCUUAUAUGCCCAAGAAAGUGGUGAACAUUGUUGCAACUGACAUGGACAAUGAAUUGGCAGUAGUGGAGUACAUUGAUGACAUAAACAAGUUCUACAGACUCACUAAAGAUGAUGGUCGUGUGCAUGAUUAUAUGGGUUCACAACCUGAUAUAAACGCCAAGAUGAGAUGAAUCCUUGUGGAUUUGGGAGGAAGUGUGUCACGUAUUCAGAUUGAUAAUGAAGACUAUGAUGAUGAUAAGGUUGAAGAUGACCCUGAGUAUUAUAGUUAACAUUUUUAGUAUAGUUGAACAAUACAUUGGGAUUAUAUCAAUACACUUGUGUUUAUGUUUUGAAUUGACUUGUUUGUUUAUAGUACUUUUCUUCUGGUUUGA
RNA transcript from Arachis stenosperma, 3127 nucleotides. It is a transcript of the gene named G2/mitotic-specific cyclin-1-like, with no coding region annotated. The record is from RefSeq and is a predicted model, not a curated record. The transcript has 8 exons. Lineage: Eukaryota; Viridiplantae; Streptophyta; Magnoliopsida; Fabales; Fabaceae.